Molecule: ribosomal RNA, 370 nt
Filed under: uncultured eukaryote
Lineage: Eukaryota
Description: partial 18S ribosomal RNA
Rfam family: Eukaryotic small subunit ribosomal RNA
Source: RNAcentral
CAAUAGCGUAUAUUAAAGUUGUUGCAGUUAAAAAGCUCGUAGUUGGACCUUGGACCUGGACAGGCGGUCCGCCUCACGGCGUGUACUGUCUUGCUGGGUCUUUCCUCUUGGUGAUCUGUUGUUUCAGCAGCAGGGAACCAGGACUUUUACUUUGAAAAAAUUAGAGUGUUCAAAGCAGGCUCGACGCCGGAAUAUAUUAGCAUGGAAUAAUAAAAUAGGACGUGCGGUUCUAUUUUGUUGGUUUUUGGAAUCGCCGUAAUGAUUAAUAGGGACAGUCGGGGGCAUUAGUACUCACAUGCUAGAGGUGAAAUUCUUGGAUUUUGUGAAGACUAACUUCUGCGAAAGCAUCUGCCAAGGAUGUUUUCAUUAA